UACGUAGGGGGCGAGCGUUGUCCGGAUUUAUUGGGCGUAAAGAGCUCGUAGGCGGUUUGUCGCGUCUGCCGUGAAAGUCCGGGGCUCAACUCCGGAUCUGCGGUGGGUACGGGCAGACUAGAGUGAUGUAGGGGAGACUGGAAUUCCUGGUGUAGCGGUGAAAUGACGCAGAUAUCAGGAGGAACACCGAUGGCGAAGGCAGGUCUCUGGGCAUUAACUGACGCUGAGGAGCGAAAGCAUGGGGAGCGAACAGG
RNAcentral lists this ribosomal RNA (254 nucleotides) under uncultured bacterium. Its description in RNAcentral is "partial 16S ribosomal RNA". It matches the Rfam family "Bacterial small subunit ribosomal RNA", at positions 524 to 776 of the family's 1533-position model. The record is from RNAcentral.